RNAcentral lists this small RNA (2202 nucleotides) under Pan troglodytes (chimpanzee). RNAcentral describes it as "retained intron". Lineage: Eukaryota; Metazoa; Chordata; Mammalia; Primates; Hominidae. The record is from RNAcentral.
AGCGAGCGGAGCGCGGGCGGCGGCGCCGGACCUCGGGCUGCGGGAGCGCGGGCGCCCUGGGGUCCUCGGAAUCACAAUGAGGACCUAGGGCAUCUGCCUGCUGACGCCCCCUGGCCUGCAGUGACCAUGGCCCCCCGCAAGAGGAGCCGCCAUGGCCUGGGCUUCCUGUGCUGCUUCGGGGGCAGUGACAUCCCCGAAAUCAACCUCCGGGACAACCACCCUCUGCAGUUCAUGGAGUUCUCCAGCCCCAUCCCGAACGCAGAGGAGCUCAACAUCCGCUUUGCAGAGCUGGUGGAUGAAUUGGAUCUCACUGACAAAAACCGAGAGGCUAUGUUUGCACUGCCCCCUGAGAAGAAAUGGCAGAUCUACUGCAGCAAGAAGAAGGUGCCCUCUCUGACCCCUCCGGCCACAUCUCAGGGUUCAUGGCAUGGGGUGGCUCUUGCUGCCUUGCCUGCUCAUGCAUUCACCUGAUGUUUAUUACAUGCCAGCCCUGUUCUAGGUGUUGGAGGAACAACAGUGAAUAAAAUAGAAAAAGGAAAUUCUGCUGUCCUGGAGCUUACACUCAAAGAAAUAGGAUUCUCUUUUUCAAAAACGCUUAAAGCAGGACCUGCUGCAUCGCAGGACUGGGGCUUGCUGGGAGACAGACAAAGAAGCAGAGUCUGGACUCUCUCGUGCCAGCUCCCAGGCAUGGAGGGUGGGCAUCAUGGACCAUACCUGGAGCAGCUUUGCUAUAAGAAAUCAGUUUGGGGGGCAGGGAUGUCCUCUUUUGGAUCUUUAGUCUCCACUCUGUCCCAGGCUAGGGCUCACACAUCCGUCCAUGUUCUCCUCGCAUAUCCUCCCUCUCUUCUUGCUCAUUAAAAGAUGCUGUUAGCCUCCUGCUAUGGCCCUCCCUAGAAAGGGGUAUGCUGAGCUCCAGUGGGGCUUAAUUGGACUUGAUCUCCUCCCUUCUGCUUUCCCAGCGGCUGUGCAUUCUUCUCUCUGCUGUCUCCAUCUCCGUGUUUCUUCAGCUUGCCUCUGUCUCUACGUCUCUCUCUUGCCCCCUUUCUAUUUUAGUCUGUUUCUUUUGCUCCUGAAUUUUCUUUUCAUGGCCUACUUUCCUCCUCUCCCCUCCACCCUCCCAGUUUUCAGACUUGAGUCCCAAGUCUAAAACUUGUUAUUCUGCCCUCCUACAUUGCUUUGGUGUUUGGGGACCAGAGCCUGGCUAUUCCCACGCCUGAGGCUUAGGCUCCCUCCCUCCUGGGAGGAGACAGGAAGGUCUGGGCGGAGUCUGAGCCAUGUAUCCUCUGUGCUCCUGUGCCCCCUCAUAGCUCUUCUCUUACUCUUCCUGCUGAAGACUUUAUCCCAUUCCGAGGUCUCCACACUGAGCCAGACUGACCUUGUAACAUUGGAGGAUUCAAAUAUACACCAUUUCAGAGUUGCAGGAACCUGGAAAACCACACAGUGUCGAUGCAGUCUCAUUCUUUAUUCUACAAAUGAGGCCAAGAAGGCCUAGAGAGGCAAAACUCACCCAUAGCCCACCCAGUCCGUUAUGGCAACUGGCUGCCCAUUGCUAGAACCUGAGACUGCUGGGGAAAAUAGUGCUAGAGGCUGAGGACCUGUGACAAGAGGCAUGGGCUGCACACGCUAUGAGCCAUUGUCUAGUAUACUCAAUGCAUGCUUAUUAAGCACCUGCAGAAUAUAACACUCUGUGUUUAUGCAUCUCAUUGUGAGAAAAGCAGGUCUUUAAAAAGCUCAAAUCAUGGAAAGAAGGAAGGAAGGAAGGAGGGAAGGAAAGAAAUUUCAGGUGUAAUUAAUCAUAUCUCAUGAUUCUCCAUUUUCCAAAUUGAUUUACUAUGGAGUUCCCUUAAGUUGGUCUCUUCUACAGCUGCUAAAAACAAAACAAAACAAAACAAAAAAAAAAACGGCCAGGCAUGGUGGCUCACACCUGUAAUCCCAGCACUUUGGGAGGCCGAGGUGGGCAGAUCAUCUGAGGUUGGGAGUUCGAGACCAGCCUGACCAACAUGGAGAAACCCCAUCUCUACUAAAAAAAAAUACAAAACUAGCCAGGUGUGGUGGCACAUGCCUGUAAUCCCAGCUACUCGGGAGGCUGAGGCAGGAAAAUCACUUGAACCAGGGAGGUGGAGAUUGUGGUUAGCCGAGAUCAUGCCAUUGCACUCCAGCCUGGGCAACAAGAGCGAAACUCCAUCUCAAAAAAAAAAAAAA